Molecule: long non-coding RNA, 486 nt
Filed under: Manihot esculenta (cassava)
Lineage: Eukaryota; Viridiplantae; Streptophyta; Magnoliopsida; Malpighiales; Euphorbiaceae
Description: long non-coding RNA (MESC_LNC009066)
Source: RNAcentral
AAAUUUCAGUAAAUCUCACAAUUAUAACCCUCAGCACAUUUACAUAAGUCUUGGCAUUCACAAUAAUUUCAGAAAUCUCAUAUUAACAUUUCAAUAAAAUUCAGAAAUCCAUUUCAAUAAAGUUCAGAAAUCCAUUUCAAUAAUCUCACUAAAAAAACUCUCAAUCCAUUCACAAUAGUCUUUAUUUCAAAGAAGUUUCAAUAAAUCUCACAAUUACAGCCCCAAGCACAUUCAAUAAAUCUUAACAUUUCCACAAAUUUCAGAAACCCGCAUCAAAAUAUCAAAAAUCUUAGAAAGCACACGUCUCAAACCACACUCUCAAAACCCAUUCAAACCUGCAGUGACUGAGGACGCGGCGAGGAACAGAGGCGGAGUGAUUGAGGACGAGGACCAGCGGCGGAGUGAUUGAGGACGAGGACCAGCGGCGAGGAGCAGCACCGGACGGCAGAAGGACUGGACCAGUGGACACAGCAACGAGGACUAGAG